Molecule: non-coding RNA, 30 nt
Filed under: Cricetulus griseus (Chinese hamster)
Lineage: Eukaryota; Metazoa; Chordata; Mammalia; Rodentia; Cricetidae
Source: RNAcentral
AUCAUGAGCAGAGAUGUCACUCUGUCCACC